GCAGCCCUCCCCAAGGACCCCUGUGAGACAAAUCAGGAAUGGCUUCCCUGGGGCCCAAGGAGCUGACAGGGCUUUUCCUGCUGCUUCUUCUACCCCUGUAUUUCACUCAGCUUUCUAAAUGACCCAGUUCCAGAAAUUCAUCUAUCAAAUUCACAAUAGGUUGUGAAUUAAAAUGGAAAACUCUUGGAAUAAUGUAAAUGGACUGGAUGGACAUGGGGCAACUUUAAAUGCAGAUAAAUGAGACUUUUUUGCUCACCUGGAACUUCAAAAAGUGCUUACCAGAGACUGUCUCCUCACUGCUAUUUCUUAUACACAAAUUUCUUGUUGGCUUCCUGACUCAAUACUUCAAUUUAUAGUUAUCUGGAUUUGCUGUUUGAUGAUUUGAAUGUGUCAUAAAAUCACAAAAUUCGAAAGGCAAAAUCCUAGUAACUGGAAUAAUCAGAGAAGUAUGGCUUCUAGGUCUGUCACCUCUAAUUCAUCUCCUCCUCCCCCAAGUGUGUAAUCAUAGCCUUUAGUUUUUACAAAACUUUCAUUACUUUAAGUAAAAAUAAGCAAAUGUAUACAAGAA
RNAcentral lists this long non-coding RNA (568 nucleotides) under Homo sapiens (human). RNAcentral describes it as "HSALNT0340806". The record is from RNAcentral. Lineage: Eukaryota; Metazoa; Chordata; Mammalia; Primates; Hominidae.